CUAACAAAAGGAAAUGGUGUUCUUCCUUACCCAACCGCUUUUCAGAAAGCUGAUGACGCCUGAUUAAAA
This 69-nucleotide non-coding RNA is filed under the name Chryseobacterium takakiae. RNAcentral's name for it is "Fluoride sequence". It matches the Rfam family "Fluoride riboswitch aptamer (crcB RNA motif)". Lineage: Bacteria; Pseudomonadati; Bacteroidota; Flavobacteriia; Flavobacteriales; Weeksellaceae. The record is from RNAcentral.